CCCACGGGGUGCUGCAGUGGGGAAUAUUGGACAAUGGGCGAAAGCCUGAUCCAGCCAUGCCGCGUGUGUGAAGAAGGCCUUCGGGUUGUAAAGCACUUUCAGUGGGGAAGAAAGCCUUGGGGCUAAUACCCUCGAGGAAGGACAUCACCCACAGAAGAAGCACCGGCUAACUCCGUGCCAGCAGCCGCGGUAAUACGGAGGGUGCGAGCGUUAAUCGGAAUUACUGGGCGUAAAGCGCGCGUAGGCGGUCUGAUAAGCCGGUUGUGAAAGCCCCGGGCUCAACCUGGGAACGGCAUCCGGAACUGUCAGGCUAGAGUGCAGGAGAGGAAGGUAGAAUUCCCGGUGUAGCGGUGAAAUGCGUAGAGAUCGGGAGGAAUACCAGUGGCGAAGGCGGCCUUCUGGACUGACACUGACGCUGAGGUGCGAAAGCGUGGGUAGCAAACAGGAUUAGAUACCCGAGUAGUC
RNAcentral lists this ribosomal RNA (465 nucleotides) under Vreelandella stevensii. RNAcentral's name for it is "partial 16S ribosomal RNA". It matches the Rfam family "Bacterial small subunit ribosomal RNA", at positions 338 to 795 of the family's 1533-position model. Lineage: Bacteria; Pseudomonadati; Pseudomonadota; Gammaproteobacteria; Oceanospirillales; Halomonadaceae. The record is from RNAcentral.